Molecule: ribosomal RNA, 253 nt
Filed under: uncultured bacterium
Lineage: Bacteria
Description: partial 16S ribosomal RNA
Rfam family: Bacterial small subunit ribosomal RNA
Source: RNAcentral
UACGGGGGGGGCAAGUGUUGUUCGGAAUUACUGGGCGUAAAGGGCUCGUAGGUGGCCAACUAAGUCGGACGUGAAAUCCCUCGGCUUAACCGGGGAACUGCGUCCGAUACUGGAUGGCUUGAGUUUGGGAGAGGGACGCGGAAUUCCUGGUGUAGCGGUGAAAUGCGCAGAUAUCAGGAGGAACACCGAUGGCGAAGGCAGGUCUCUGGGCCACUACUGACGCUGAGAAGCGAAAGCAUGGGGAGCGAACAGG